CUUUGCUACAUGCAGAGUGAAACUGAGCAAGUUACUUUACAUCUCUGCACCAAUGUUUCCUCAUCUGGAAAAUGAGAGGAUUCAAAUAGAUGACCUCAAAGGUGCUAUCCAACUAGAAAUCUCAUGAUUCUAUGACAGUGGAUAUGAGGAAUUUUAAAUGUACAAUUCAUAUGUAUACAUAUGCUCAUAAUAUAUAUAUCUACAAUAUAUAUUCAUAGGAAAUUGAAAUCAAAAUGCAUAGGAAAUUAGAAAUCAAUGACAUUGAAAUGCACUUAUCAGAAUAUUAAGACAAAAACAUUUACAGAAAUCAGAUGAAUUAAUCCAACUCCCUCAAUUUUUACAGAUGAGGAAACUGAAGCCCAGGAAGAUUGUCUUGUCCAAUGUGACCUGCAUAGUUAGCAUCAGACUUGUGAUUUGAAUCAGGUUCUCUGACUCCAAGGCCAGUGCUCUUUCCACUGUAGCUACAGAUGGUCCAUGGCCUGUGAUUAAUGCAGACUCUUUCAUAGGACUUUCUCUGUGGUAUUGGGUCCCAUGCCAACAAAUUGCUUUGUGAAUACCAAUAGAAUUCCUUAAAUACCUCCUCGGGAGGUAAAAGCCAAGAAGUGUACAAUUGAUCGGCUGCAUCUAGGUUCACCGGUGUCCAAGUCCUAAGUCAUGAGUCCCAAUUCACAUACCCUGCAUUUGUUUCCACAACCAUUAACUAACUCUACUUCCAGCUGAAUGCCAGUCCAGGGGAAUCCUUUCCAGGGAAACCUGGUUUCUCCUCCUUUAUGGUACACCCUCCUUAUGCUAUACACUCUUUAUCGCUUCCAUGGUGAUCAGAACUGACUAGUGCCCAAACUAGAGCCCACGAUUUCCUUAAGCUCAUCAGUCCUGGAAAAUGACUAUGGCUUAGGACAGCCGCAACUAUGAAAGCCUGCUCUCAGCUAUCCUGUUAAAAAGGAAUGCUUUACACUGCUGUUACUGCUAAGAAAUAUUAUCCCUUCCUAGGGUAAUUGCGGUAUUUGUAUUUUCUCAAGGAAUGAGACCCUGACUUACAGGCACAGGUUUUGAAUGAAAAAACUUUAGACUUUAGAGAUGAGUUAGUGGAGGAUAUAUUGGGAGGGGAGAGAGAACUGUUUCCUUAACCAAGGGCUAGG
RNAcentral lists this long non-coding RNA (1139 nucleotides) under Monodelphis domestica (gray short-tailed opossum). Its description in RNAcentral is "lncRNA (ENSMODG00000042834.1)". Lineage: Eukaryota; Metazoa; Chordata; Mammalia; Didelphimorphia; Didelphidae. The record is from RNAcentral.